This 820-nucleotide ribosomal RNA is filed under the name uncultured eukaryote. Its description in RNAcentral is "SSU rRNA". It matches the Rfam family "Eukaryotic small subunit ribosomal RNA", at positions 629 to 1426 of the family's 1831-position model. The record is from RNAcentral.
CGGUGUUUAACUGGCGUGAUGUGGGACGUCCUACCGGUGGGCUUAGCCUCGCGAGGGGCGGCCCAACUAAUAUCCCGUCGCGGUGCUCUUUACUGAGUGUCGAGUCGGGCCGGUACGUUUACUUUGAACAAAUUAGAGUGCUUAAAGCAGGCUAUCCUCGCCUGAAUACUGCGUGCAUGGAAUAAUGGAAUAGGACCUCGGUUCUAUUUUGUUGGUUUUCGGAACCCCGAGGUAAUGAUUAAUAGGGACAGAUGGGGGCAUUCGUAUUGCGACGUUAGAGGUGAAAUUCUUGGAUCGUCGCAAGACGGACAGAAGCGAAAGCAUUUGCCAAAAAUGUUUUCAUUAAUCAAGAACGAAAGUUAGAGGUUCGAAGGCGAUCAGAUACCGCCCUAGUUCUAACCAUAAACGAUGCCAGCUAGCGAUCCGCCGAAGUUCCCUCCGAUGACUCGGCGGGCAGCUUCCGGGAAACCAAAGCUUUUGGGUUCCGGGGGAAGUAUGGUUGCAAAGCUGAAACUUAAAGGAAUUGACGGAAGGGCACCACCAGGAGUGGAGCCUGCGGCUUAAUUUGACUCAACACGGGAAACCUCACCAGGCCCAGACACCGGAAGGAUUGACAGAUUGAUAGCUCUUUCUUGAUUCGGUGGGUGGUGGUGCGUGGCCGUUCUUAGUUGGUGGAGCGAUUUGUCUGGUUAAUUCCGAUAACGAACGAGACUCUAGCCUGCUAAAUAGGCGUACCUUAUGGUAUCGCGAAGGCCCCCGGCUUCGGCCGGUGGGUUUUUACUACCAACGUACAAACAAAUCUUCUUAGAGGGACAGGCGG